GACGAACGCUGGCGGCGUGCUUAACACAUGCAAGUCGAACGGUAAGGCCCUUCGGGGUACACGAGUGGCGAACGGGUGAGUAACACGUGGGUGAUCUGCCCUGCACUUCGGGAUAAGCCUGGGAAACUGGGUCUAAUACCGGAUAGGACCACUGCCUGCAUGGGUGGUGGUGGAAAGCUUUUGCGGUGUGGGAUGGGCCCGCGGCCUAUCAGCUUGUUGGUGGGGUGAUGGCCUACCAAGGCGACGACGGGUAGCCGGCCUGAGAGGGUGACCGGCCACGCUGGGACUGAGAUACGGCCCAGACUCCUACGGGAGGCAGCAGUGGGGAAUAGUGCACAAUGGGCGCAAGCCUGAUGCAGCGACGCCGCGUGAGGGAUGACGGCCUUCGGGUUGUAAACCUCUUUCAGCACCGACGAAGCGCAAGUGACGGUAGGUGCAGAAGAAGGACCGGCCAACUACGUGCCAGCCGCCGCAGUAA
This 478-nucleotide ribosomal RNA is filed under the name uncultured bacterium. RNAcentral describes it as "partial 16S ribosomal RNA". It matches the Rfam family "Bacterial small subunit ribosomal RNA", at positions 28 to 523 of the family's 1533-position model. The record is from RNAcentral.